Molecule: ribosomal RNA, 330 nt
Filed under: Limosilactobacillus fermentum
Lineage: Bacteria; Bacillati; Bacillota; Bacilli; Lactobacillales; Lactobacillaceae
Description: bacterial SSU rRNA
Rfam family: Bacterial small subunit ribosomal RNA
Source: RNAcentral
AGUCACCGCGUUGGCCCGUUGUUGAUGGUGUUGACCUGAUUGAUUUGGCGCCAACGAGUGGCGGACGGGUGAGUAAACGUAGGUAACCUGCCCAGAAGCGGGGGACAACAUUUGGAAACAGAUGCUAAUACCGCAUAACAACGUUGUUCGCAUGAACAACGCUUAAAAGAUGGCUUCUCGCUAUCACUUCUGGAUGGACCUGCGGUGCAUUAGCUUGUUGGUGGGGUAACGGCCUACCAAGGCGAUGAUGCAUAGCCGAGUUGAGAGACUGAUCGGCCACAAUGGGACUGAGACACGGCCCAUACUCCUACGGGAGCAAGGCAGUAGGGA